AUUUAUAUAGUAUAAAAAUUAUAAUUGAUUUCCAAUCAAAAGAUCUAAAAAAAUUAGUAUAAAUA
This 65-nucleotide transfer RNA is filed under the name Latridiidae sp. 1 KM-2017. RNAcentral's name for it is "tRNA-Gly". Lineage: Eukaryota; Metazoa; Arthropoda; Insecta; Coleoptera; Latridiidae. The record is from RNAcentral.